UGACCUCAAAUCAGGAGGACAACGAC
RNAcentral lists this ribosomal RNA (26 nucleotides) under Tylopilus neofelleus. Its description in RNAcentral is "partial 28S ribosomal RNA". The record is from RNAcentral. Lineage: Eukaryota; Fungi; Basidiomycota; Agaricomycetes; Boletales; Boletaceae.